RNAcentral lists this RNase P RNA (368 nucleotides) under human gut metagenome. Its description in RNAcentral is "Bacterial RNase P class A". It matches the Rfam family "Bacterial RNase P class A". From Rfam's summary of the family: Ribonuclease P (RNase P) is a ubiquitous endoribonuclease, found in archaea, bacteria and eukarya as well as chloroplasts and mitochondria. The record is from RNAcentral.
GCCUGUCGCGUACAUCCCUCGAGUGAUGUAGGAGGAAAGUCCGGGCAGCACAGGGCACUCCGCUACUUAAUGGGUAGUUGUCGGCAACGGCAAAUGCGUGCAGAAGAAAAGAACCGCCUGCCGCUAUGGCAGGUAAGGGUGAGAAGGUGGGGCAAGAGCCCACCGGUUGUACAGUGAUGUGCAAGCCGUGCACCUCGGAGGCUGAAAGUUCGCGUAAACCGGCGGUUGAGGGCGGCCCGUCCAAGCCAUCAGUGGCCCGCCGGAGGGUAGAACGAUAGAAUCUGUCGGCGACGGCAGAUCCGGAUAAAUGACAGGCGCGCCCUUGUCUGCGACUUGGGCGAACAGAACCCGGCUUAUUGUCCGGCUGC